This is a long non-coding RNA of Aegilops tauschii subsp. strangulata, 757 nucleotides long. RefSeq lists it as uncharacterized. NCBI's taxonomy places the organism in Eukaryota, Viridiplantae, Streptophyta, Magnoliopsida, Poales, Poaceae. The record is from RefSeq and is a predicted model, not a curated record.
AACGCCCAGGAGCGAUCCACGUGAUCGAUUGGCCUUGUGUCUUCGAUUUUGAUUGGGUCUUUGUACUGAAUGGGCCCACCGGUGAGGCGCUGAAAUCAGGUGGGCAUGUGUGAACCGUGGGAAAAAACUCUCUUUCUGCAGAAAAUCUUCUCCCCUGACCUGAGCCUCCGCCGUCGCUCCUCCUCCCCAGCUCUCUAAUCUCACCGCAUCCCUCUUCUCCCUGCCCCGAGCCAUCGCUGCAACCCCUCCUCCUUCCUAGGUUUCUCCUUGACACCUCAUGACUCCCCGCCACCUCUUUCUAAGCGGCGAUGACCAGUGGGAUUGGAGGCGGCAGCUCGCGCGGUGGGGAAAGAGGACCGUGCUGGGAAGAAAUCUCGCGGCGGCCGACGGCCAGCUCAUAUGGUGGGGACGGAGGUCGCCGGAGAGGAGGUGAUUUGGGGGUGGCAUGUCGCCCUUCGAGCUGUGAUCUGCCGUGGCUCCAUUCGCAUCUCCGGAGACGCCUAUUCUCAUAAAUUGGUCUGCGUGACAUGUUUACUUCCACAUGAUCCGCGGGUAGCCACAUGUUCAUAUUACGGAUAUUUCUCUCAUCUGGUUUCAUUCUUGUGGAGGUAGUGUUGCUAAUUAAGCAAGUACGCCAUACAAUGCCGCUUGGUGCAGUAAUUCAUGUGAGCCCCUGCGAAGCAUGUGAUAUAUCCUCUCUGGCUGAUUCAAUUUUAGGACACGUUUUAUUAUCAAUGAUUUUUGUUGGGUUUACAUA